Schizosaccharomyces pombe (fission yeast) is the source of this 658-nucleotide non-coding RNA. The record is from the annotation of a GenBank genome assembly. Lineage: Eukaryota; Fungi; Ascomycota; Schizosaccharomycetes; Schizosaccharomycetales; Schizosaccharomycetaceae.
UAUGUAAAAAGUUUAAUGCAUGAAUCUAGUAAGUGAAAGGAAAAGGGAUAACAGAUUCACUUUCCGUUUCACUUCGCUACUUCGCCCGCAAUGUCAUCUGUAUCUUUUUUCAUAAACAAACGACAAAUCGGUUGAGAAAGCAAAACGUUUGUUAAUUCUUUGCUUUCUCUAACUCAACUUUUGCAAAUACAUUACUGUCUUUUUAAAUCAUCACAAUAAAACAGUCAACCCAGAAAAAAGGAUUUAUUGAUUAAAUGGUUAAGGACGAAAGUAAACCGAAAGAGAACAUAAGUUAAAAAAUUCAUUAAAGCCCCCAAAAAGAAUAGUUGAUAAAACGAUUAAUGACCAAUCCCAGCUUUUUUACAAAGAGCAAAGACAUCUCCAACUUCAUCCACAUUUCCGUGAAUGAGUACCGUUGGCUUUCCAGUACCAUUUCCAGGAUUGGAAACGUUUCCCGUCAGAACUCUUCUUGCGACCCUACUUAAAUCGGAUGGAGUCAAUGCAUCAAUUUUCUCAAUCAUUUCCUUGGGAGUAAUAUAAAGACCAUUCUGAGUUUGGAUCUGUCUCCCCAAGUCCUCUAGUGAGAUCAUCCUGCUCUCAAGAUUCAUUAAUAGAGAGCUUUUUAGCUGAUUCUUAGCCCGCUCUGUUUCCUCAGAGG